CUUGACGACCAUAGAGCGUUGGAACCACCUGAUCCCAUCCCGAACUCAGUAGUGAAACGAUGCAUCGCCGAUGGUAGUGUGGAGCUUCUCCAUGUGAGAGUAGGUCAUCGUCAAGA
Molecule: ribosomal RNA, 116 nt
Filed under: Pseudomonas sp. GD04058
Lineage: Bacteria; Pseudomonadati; Pseudomonadota; Gammaproteobacteria; Pseudomonadales; Pseudomonadaceae
Source: RNAcentral